This 1204-nucleotide long non-coding RNA is filed under the name Chrysemys picta bellii (western painted turtle). RNAcentral's name for it is "lncRNA (ENSCPBG00000000466.1)". Lineage: Eukaryota; Metazoa; Chordata; Testudines; Emydidae. The record is from RNAcentral.
UUAUUCUUCUACACACACACACACACACACACACACACACACACACACACACACCUGGGUUAAUACAAACCUAAGGAAAUAUUUCUUCACACAACACAACUCGUAACUCAUUGCCAGGGGAUGUCGUGAAGGCCAAAAGUGUAACCAGGUUCAAAAAAGAAUUAGAAAAGUUCCUGGAGGACAGGUCCAUCAAUGGCUAUUAGCCAAGGUGGUCAGGGGUGCAACACCGUGCACAGGGUGUCCCUAUGCCUUCUGAUUGAAACUGGGACUGGGUGACGGGAUGGAUCACUCUAUAAAUUGCCCAGUUCUGUUCAUUUCUUCUGAAGCAUCUGGCACCAGCAGAAGACAGGAUACUGGGCUAGAUGGACAAUUGGUCUGACCCAGUAUGGCCAUUCUUAUGUUACCCCUGUAUUGUGCCUAGAUAGGACUCAUCUCCUUUGAGCCAUUGAUAUGUGGUCUUUGCGACAAUGCACCUUGUAAGGCUCUGAAAUGAGCCCUGCCAAUAAUAUAGGAAAUUGUGACUUUUAGGCAAAACCUAGAGGCUAACUCUGAUUCUCCAGGGAUGCUGAGGUUCCCUCUUGCCCCAGCUGCAGGAUGGGAUGAGAGUCUUGUCCCGUCUCAUCUGGUUCCCUCUCUCUCAGGCAGCAGACCUUGUGGCUGGGGUUUGCAGCCGGUUGGAUUCAGUCCAGCAGCCCAGCUCCAGGACCCUGAUGAAGAAGUUAGUGGCCCUGCUGGCUGGCGAGGCGGAGCAUCUGGACACAGUGAUCUCAUGCCUUCUGGACUACUCCUUCCCUACAGACAGCAAUUCGGCCGAGCUGUGGCAGUUCCUAUCUGCUGACCCGGCCCUCGGAGGACAGGUGAUGGAGAACCUGGUUGUGAAGCUGCAGAGUCACCACAGCUCUGAGCACCAAGCCUCUCACAUGUCUGCUGCCGUAAGUCACUGUUCGAACAUCCAUAGCCCCAUACAGUUAAAUCUAUCCUAUGUCUCGGUCACAGGGCACACUCACCGCCAACGCGCCUCCUCAUGCCAGGACAUGAUGUUGCAGGGCUUAUUCCACCCUGGUGUCCCCUUGUCCAGCCUCCUGGUUCUGCAACACUCCGCAGGUUCCAUGGUCUGGCCCUCUGGCCACGUCACCUCUUCCAGGGUUAACAGAAAAGUCCAAUAUGGGAAAACCCAACAUGUAGUGGCCUCUGUGCCAGGCCC